RNAcentral lists this long non-coding RNA (1183 nucleotides) under Lynx pardinus (Iberian lynx). The record is from RNAcentral. Lineage: Eukaryota; Metazoa; Chordata; Mammalia; Carnivora; Felidae.
GUUGACCGCUAGGGGCUCAGCGGAAGUCGGGGCAGAGACCUGGAAGGAGGGGCGGCUGGUGGAGGCCCCUCCGGCCCGCCGGGGCCAAUUGGGAUUUGCUCUUGCCGCUCGGUUAAGCGUGGAUUUAAGAGUGGAGCUCAGGCACUCUGUGCUCUCGGGGGAAGGCGGCGGCCAAGAGUGCAUCGCGCUGCGGGUGCUCAGAUCUGAAGGGCUGGAGCUCGGUGGUCGGGGUUCCAGUGCGACUCCUGCGGAAGUCCUCAACCAAGCCCGGGCCCCCGGUGCUGAACCAGAGGUCUUCGUUUCUGUGGGCCCCACGUUGGAAACUUGAAGUCGUGAGGGGCUCUCUCUUCCAGGCAGAAGGUGUGUGUGAAUGCGAGCGUGUACCGAGGUACGUGAGCAGCAGUGAGUGUCCGUGCAGAAUGAGGAUCUUUAUUCCAAGAACCCCAGCUCGCCAGACCUUUAGGGAGGGGUGGGAUGAAGGGUUAGGGCUACCUGAAGGUGAGGCAGCUUGUCCGACUUCAGGAUGGCAGGAAAUCCCCAGGGAAGUCCUGUCUUCCAAUAUGACCGGAGGGCUGAGCAUCUUAAUGGCAGACCACGGCCUCCAGCCUCCAUUCCGGUCCUGCCCGAGGAGGAGAUCUCCUGGGAAGCUUAUCAUCACCGAAUGACAAAUACUCCAUUUGUUUACCUCUUCUCCUCUGCUCCCUACCAUAGACUGCAAGCUCAUACUUUGCUUUCUGCUAACACUUGAUUGGAUGUUUCCCCCUCUUCUUGGACUCUCCAGUCUCUCUGAAGCCUUUGGACAUCGCAUGGAAGGCAGUGUUAAGAGCCCAACUUUGGAGACAGACUGAGAUAUUAGCUCUAUGAUCUGAGGCAAAUUACGUGCCUCCUCGCACUGCAGUGUCCACUGCUGUAAAAGGGAGAGAAUAGUAGUAUUCACCUCCCAAAGUUCACCGGAGGAUUAAAUGAAAUGAUUCAUGUAGAAUGUAUCUAGUCUUAUUUGUCGAAGCCAGGAGCACCCACUUACUCUUAAGCUACCUUUGGUAUCCCCCCUUCUGUACCCCUUUACUUUGCCACCUAAUUAAACAGGGGGUCGCUUGACAUGUUUUGUGUACAGAUGGUUUGUUUCUUCAAUCUGCUUUUUAAUUUCUUUAAACAUAGUCACUUUUAUUUCUAUCUGUACUCA